GCCGCCAUAGCUCAAUUGGUAGAGCAACUGAUUUGUAAUCAGUAGGUUGUAGGUGCGAGUCCUAUUGGCGGCUUA
RNAcentral lists this transfer RNA (75 nucleotides) under Caudoviricetes sp. Its description in RNAcentral is "tRNA-Thr". It matches the Rfam family "tRNA". Rfam says of the family: Transfer RNA (tRNA) molecules are approximately 80 nucleotides in length. Lineage: Duplodnaviria; Heunggongvirae; Uroviricota; Caudoviricetes. The record is from RNAcentral.